Molecule: unclassified non-coding RNA, 348 nt
Filed under: soil metagenome
Description: partial contains 5.8S ribosomal RNA, internal transcribed spacer 2, and large subunit ribosomal RNA
Rfam family: 5.8S ribosomal RNA (bases 1-120)
Source: RNAcentral
GAUGAAGAACGUAGCGAAAUGCGAUAAGUAAUGUGAAUUGCAGAAUUCAGUGAAUCAUCGAAUCUUUGAACGCACAUUGCGCCCGCCAGUAUUCUGGCGGGCAUGCCUGUCUGAGCGUCAUUUCAACCCUCAUGCCCCUAGGGCGUGGUGUUGGGGAUCGGCCAAAGCCCGCGAGGGACGGCCGGCCCCUAAAUCUAGUGGCGGACCCGUCGUGGCCUCCUCUGCGAAGUAGUGAUAUUCCGCAUCGGAGAGCGAUGAGCCCCUGCCGUUAAACCCCCAACUUUCCAAGGUUGACCUCAGAUCGGGUAGGAAUACCCGCUGAACUUAAGCAUAUCAAUAAGCGGAGGA